UAGGCUGCAACUCGCCUACACGAAGUCGGAAUCGCUAGUAAUCGCGGAUCAGCAUGCCGCGGUGAAUACGUUCCCGGGCCUUGUACACACCGCCCGUNACACCAUGGGAGUUUGUAACGCCCAAAGUCGGUGGCCUAACCUUUAUGGAGGGAGCCGCCUAAGGCGGGACAGAUNACUGGGGUGAAGUCGUAACAAGGUACC
This 201-nucleotide ribosomal RNA is filed under the name uncultured bacterium. Its description in RNAcentral is "partial 16S ribosomal RNA". It matches the Rfam family "Bacterial small subunit ribosomal RNA", at positions 1301 to 1500 of the family's 1533-position model. The record is from RNAcentral.